Molecule: ribosomal RNA, 491 nt
Filed under: uncultured bacterium
Lineage: Bacteria
Description: partial 16S ribosomal RNA
Rfam family: Bacterial small subunit ribosomal RNA
Source: RNAcentral
AGUGAACGCUGGCGGUAGGCCUAACACAUGCAAGUCGAACGGCAGCACAGUAAGAGCUUGCUCUUACGGGUGGCGAGUGGCGGACGGGUGAGGAAUACAUCGGAAUCUACUUUUUCGUGGGGGAUAACGUAGGGAAACUUACGCUAAUACCGCAUACGACCUACGGGUGAAAGCAGGGGAUCUUCGGACCUUGCGCGAUUGAAUGAGCCGAUGUCGGAUUAGCUAGUUGGCGGGGUAAAGGCCCACCAAGGCGACGAUCCGUAGCUGGUCUGAGAGGAUGAUCAGCAACACUGGAACGGAGAAACGGGCAAGACUCCUACGGGAGGCAGCAGUGGGAAAUAUUGGACAAGGGGCGAAAGCUUGAGCAAGCCAUCCCGGGUGGGUAAAGAAGGCCUUCGGGUUGUAAAGCCUUUUUGUUGGGAAAGAAAAGCAGCAGGUUAAUACCCCGCUGUUCUGACGGUACCAAAAGAAUAAGCACCGGCUAACUUCGU